This 966-nucleotide long non-coding RNA is filed under the name Trifolium pratense (red clover). RNAcentral's name for it is "long non-coding RNA (TPRA_LNC014100)". Lineage: Eukaryota; Viridiplantae; Streptophyta; Magnoliopsida; Fabales; Fabaceae. The record is from RNAcentral.
CAUACUUGUAACAGCAUGAAAGGAAGCAUUUGGUCUUCCUUUGCUGGCAGUGGAAGUUGUCCUUGCAGCUGUUCAGUAAAAGCAAAUUGUGUUCCAGGCUUCCAGCAAAUGGAUCUUCCAUUUUUCUUUAAUUUAUAUAUAUGAUUAGUUUUCCCUUCAUGUCUAUUUUAUAUGAUUAAUUUUCUCCAAAUUUAAUACAAAUCAAUAUUAUAAUGUGGACAAGUAUGUGUUAUCAUUCUAAAAGGUUUUGAACGGCGGCGAGAGUAUAGAAAAUUAUAAUAUCAAGAAAAAAUCAAAACCUUAUUACGAGGACAGUAUAGGAGACACCCCAUUUUAGUUAUGGUGUGAUUGAUUGUUAGCCACCAGAUUAAAAAAAUAGAUGGACAAGAUUUGGUGUCAACAAAUUCGUUGACACUUGGUGUCAACGGAUCCUGACUCAUAUAUAUAUAUAUAUAUAUAUAUAUAUAUAUAUAUAUAUCCUAUAUUUGUUUCCCCAUGUCCGUCCCUUAGUGCAAUAUAUGCCACGACUGGCAAUGAACAAGCAAUAAUGCCUAGAAACACAAUGUUUGCAUAACCUAAAAUUUCAUCCAAAGAACAACUAGAAUUUUCAUAUGGUUGUGAACUUGAAUUUUUUGAUCUGUUUAAGACAUCAAAUUGUUACUUUCCGCGAUUUAACUUCCUGAGGAAACAAGGACUGUACUGCAUCCCAAAGAGCUACGUUCACACAGCAGGAUAAACCAUUACUGAAAAAAAAAACCCACAACUAAGUGAAAAGACAACAAGAAGACAAUCAUUGAAAAUAUGUUAUUUUGAAUAUUUGAUUUUUGAAAAUAAAUAAAUUUUUGGUCCUAUAAAUAUCUCGAAUUUUGUUUCCGGUCUUUAUAAGAAAUUUCAGCAAUUUUUGGUCGCUUGUCUUGAGUAAAAAAAACACAAAAGAGUUGUGUCAUAACUUUUGGUCCUACUUUU